UGGUGGAGUGAUUUGUCUGGUUAAUUCCGUUAACGAACGAGACCUCGACCUGCUAAAUAGUAUGGCGAAUCCUAGAUUCGUACAUGCUUCUUAGAGGGACUAUCGGUGUGUAGCCGAUGGAAGUUCGAGGCAAUAACA
Molecule: ribosomal RNA, 138 nt
Filed under: uncultured eukaryote
Lineage: Eukaryota
Description: partial 18S ribosomal RNA
Rfam family: Eukaryotic small subunit ribosomal RNA
Source: RNAcentral